AGAGUUUGAUCCUGGCUCAGGAUGAACGCUGGCGGCGUGCCUAAUACAUGCAAGUCGAGCGAACGGACGAGAAGUUUGCUUCUCUGAUGUUAGCGGCGGACGGGUGAGUAACACGUGGAUAACCUACCUAUAAGACUGGGAUAACUUCGGGAAACCGGAGCUAAUACCGGAUGAUAUUUUGAACCGCAUGGUUCAAAAGUGAAAGACGGUCUUGCUGUCACUUAUAGAUGGAUCCGCGCUGCAUUAGCUAGUUGGUAAGGUAACGGCUUACCAAGGCAACGAUGCAUAGCCGACCUGAGAGGGUGAUCGGCCACACUGGAACUGAGACACGGUCCAGACUCCUACGGGAGGCAGCAGUAGGGAAUCUUCCGCAAUGGGCGAAAGCCUGACGGAGCAACGCCGCGUGAGUGAUGAAGGUCUUCGGAUCGUAAAACUCUGUUAUUAGGGAAGAACAUAUGUGUAAGUAACUGUGCACAUCUUGACGGUACCUAAUCAGAAAGCCACGGCUAACUACGUGCCAGCAGCCGCGGUAAUACGUAGGUGGCAAGCGUUAUCCGGAAUUAUUGGGCGUAAAGCGCGCGUAGGCGGUUUUUUAAGUCUGAUGUGAAAGCCCACGGCUCAACCGUGGAGGGUCAUUGGAAACUGGAAAACUUGAGUGCAGAAGAGGAAAGUGGAAUUCCAUGUGUAGCGGUGAAAUGCGCAGAGAUAUGGAGGAACACCAGUGGCGAAGGCGACUUUCUGGUCUGUAACUGACGCUGAUGUGCGAAAGCGUGGGGAUCAAACAGGAUUAGAUACCCUGGUAGUCCACGCCGUAAACGAUGAGUGCUAAGUGUUAGGGGGUUUCCGCCCCUUAGUGCUGCAGCUAACGCAUUAAGCACUCCGCCUGGGGAGUACGACCGCAAGGUUGAAACUCAAAGGAAUUGACGGGGACCCGCACAAGCGGUGGAGCAUGUGGUUUAAUUCGAAGCAACGCGAAGAACCUUACCAAAUCUUGACAUCCUUUGACAACUCUAGAGAUAGAGC
Molecule: ribosomal RNA, 1023 nt
Filed under: Staphylococcus aureus M0858
Lineage: Bacteria; Bacillati; Bacillota; Bacilli; Caryophanales; Staphylococcaceae
Description: bacterial SSU rRNA
Rfam family: Bacterial small subunit ribosomal RNA
Source: RNAcentral